UGCUGAGUCCAUGUGUAACCUCCAUCCC
Molecule: non-coding RNA, 28 nt
Filed under: Homo sapiens (human)
Lineage: Eukaryota; Metazoa; Chordata; Mammalia; Primates; Hominidae
Source: RNAcentral